This 714-nucleotide ribosomal RNA is filed under the name uncultured Spiroplasma sp. RNAcentral describes it as "bacterial SSU rRNA". It matches the Rfam family "Bacterial small subunit ribosomal RNA", at positions 9 to 722 of the family's 1533-position model. The record is from RNAcentral. Lineage: Bacteria; Bacillati; Mycoplasmatota; Mollicutes; Entomoplasmatales; Spiroplasmataceae.
GAGUUUGAUCAUGGCUCAGGAUUAACGCUGGCGGCAUGCCUAAUACAUGCAAGUCGAACGGAGUAGCAAUACUUAGUGGCGAACGGGUGAGUAACACGUAUCUAAUCUACCAUUUAGUGGGGAAUAACUGUUGGAAACGACAGCUAAUACCGCAUAAUAUUGCUGGAUAAUUUCCAGUAAUGAAAGGAGCUUUCAAGCUCUGCUGAUUGAUGAGGAUGCGGCGCAUUAGCUAGUUGGUAGGGUAAUGGCCUACCAAGGCAAUGAUGCGUAGCCGAUCUGAGAGGAUGAACGGCCACAUUGGGACUGAGACACGGCCCAAACUUCUACGGAAGGCAGCAGUAGGGAAUUUUUCACAAUGGGCGAAAGCCUGAUGGAGCAAUGCCGCGUGACUGAUGAAGGUCUUCGGAUUGUAAAGGUCUGUUGUAAGGGAAGAAAUGGUAAAACAGGAAAUGGUUUUAUCUAUGACGGUACCUUACCAGAAAGCCACGGCUAACUAUGUGCCAGCAGCCGCGGUAAUACAUAGGUGGCAAGCGUUAUCCGGAUUUAUUGGGCGUAAAGGGUGCGUAGACGGUUUUGCAAGUCUGAGGUUAAAUUUAGGAGCUCAACUCCUAAUCGCCUUGGAAACUACAAGACUAGAGUAUAGGAGAGGUUAGUGGAAUUCCAUGUGUAGCGGUGGAAUGUGUAGAUAUAUGGAGGAACACCAGUGGCGAAGGC